Molecule: non-coding RNA, 1383 nt
Organism: Salmo salar (Atlantic salmon)
Lineage: Eukaryota; Metazoa; Chordata; Actinopteri; Salmoniformes; Salmonidae
Source: RefSeq, a predicted model, not a curated record
CAUCAGAACAUGGAAAGGUAAUGGAAGUGUUGUGUUGAACCCUGACUCUGCUGUUUUGUACACUGACAUGAUAUGCCUGCCGAAACUAUACAUGUGUACAUGUACACACACACCACACAUGUGUACAUGUACACACACACACACACACACACACACAGACACACACACACAGACACACACACACACACAACCUUCCUGGAACCAGAGGAACAUGGUGUGCUCACACCUCGGCACAUGCAGGGGCGAUAUAUAAGAGCAGUCCAACUCCGAAAAGGACAUAGACUCUACAGCACUCGAUACACUGAGGACCAUCUCUGGAAACAUAGACCAGGACAGACCAUCAACAGCUCUUCAAGCCUCCUGCAGUAUUUUACUCUUAGGACACCUCACCUACUCUCCAAUAUAAUGUAUCUUCUGGGACUCUGUACACUGGCACUGCUGGCCUCCACCGUCGCACAGAAUUCUUCAACAAUAGCUUCAUUUACUCCUACAAUCGCUGUUUCUGCUCCUACCAUCGCUGGUUCUGCUCCUACAACCGCUGGUCCUGUUGCUCCUACAACUGCUGGUCCUGUUGCUCCUACAACCGCUGGUCCUGUUGCUCCUACAACCACUGGUCCUGUUGCUCCUACAACCGCUGGUCCUGUUGCUCCUACAACCGCUGGUCCUGUUGCUCCUACAACCACUGCUCCUGCAAUAGCAGCAACUGUCCCACCCUCCAAACCAAGUGGCAGCCCAGCAACCGGAGCGUCUCUGUUGUGUUCUGUGGUGAUUCUUCUCCUCUACAGCCUGUGGUACUAAGUGGUGAACCUCCUCUGGCCUGGAGUUUGUAUUGUUCAGGACAAAUAGACUGAGUGGCUAUGAAUGAACCCAGAGCCAAUGAACUAAGCAAAUAUGUAUCUGGAAGAAUGGAUUUUCUGGAACACCAGUCAUUGAUGUUUCAUGUUAGAGGUUAAUCUUUGUAUAUGGACACGUUAUGAGAGAAGCAAAUUCUUCUUAAAUUUGAAUUUGGGUGGGUGGAUUGGAGGGAGGGAGGGAGGGAGGGAGGGAGGGGUUGGGGUUGUACUGUUUUUCUGUUCUCAUACCUGAAAAUCUAUAAAGAAAGUACAACAAAAAACAUUUGUUGUAAACAGUCACCAAUGGGUAAAAACCUUUGGGCAAAGAGAUAUUGGUUGUGUUUUGAACACUGACGGUUUUAGGAUCUUGCUUCCACUGCCCUUUUAGACUUAUUUUUGUCUGUUUGUUUUUUUAAGUUGAAAUGCACUGAUUAGAGGGAAUGAGUUCAUGUUGUAGACAAUAUACUUGAUUGUAAUCCAAUUUCUAUUUUAAUAAAUGCAUGUAUGGAAGUACACUUCAAACAAUAUAAUAAAAUAAUAUAAAGUGUGA